This 1709-nucleotide long non-coding RNA is filed under the name Sarcophilus harrisii (Tasmanian devil). RNAcentral's name for it is "lncRNA (ENSSHAG00000022180.1)". Lineage: Eukaryota; Metazoa; Chordata; Mammalia; Dasyuromorphia; Dasyuridae. The record is from RNAcentral.
UUGACCUGGGAUUUGAAGGACUGAUCGGAUCAUUAGUGUGGGGAGGCAUCCCAGGAGGCAGAAGGGAAGAUAAAAAGGCAAUUUGAAAGAAGCAGCUUGCUGGAGAAGUCGUGAGCCAGGCUCUGGGACUCUGGGCAAAUCCAUCCUACUCGUCCAGCCACUGCAAUGGAAAUCCAGCUUUCUGGAUUGGAGCUCAGCAGGCCAUUCGUCAUUUCAGAACACCAUGCUGCCUUCUCAAAAUAACUUUUGUAGAACAUUUGUAAGAGGUAAAUUUUUUCAAAUUUGGUGAUGAGUUGAGUAUCCCCAGUAACCAGUGAGUUUAGGAAGCAAGUGCUUCCUAAUUCCAAAGUCUAAGAAGUUGGCCACAGUGUCCACACAUCCCAUUUGUAAUUCUAAUAAAGAAUGAAUUUUAAUUCUUUCAAAUAAACAUGAUUUUUUCAAAUGGUAGCCAAGUAGUUAGGACAUAAAUAUUAAUUUAGUACUUUGGACCUAACUACGAAUCAGUGAGUAUUCUUUUUGGCUUCAGGAUACUGUAAAAAAAUUACUAAGAUACUCAGGGUCCUGCCAUGAACCAAUAGAUUUUUCAAACUCCUGCCUCAUUUUUUUCUCCUCUUAAAUAAAUUCUAAUUGUUUAGCCAGGCUUUUCUUUGCCUUGAGAGGAAAUCUGGGUUUUACUCCAUUUUUCUGCUGAAACUGCUUUCUCAAGUUACUUUGAUCUUUCUUUUUUUUUUAUCUUUUUACACACAACCUAUGAUUUAAUUGGUAUAAGGAAUAGCCAAUAUCCUACACAGAAGGAACUCAUCGGUUAAAUGAGUAGAGAGCCCUGGACUUGGGAGUCAUAACCAGAGUUCAAAUCCAGCCUCAGUCUUACUAUGUGACCCUGGGCCAAUCAUUUAACUUGUCUGACUCAAGUUUCCUCAUCUGUAAAAGGAGGUUUCUAAUAGCACUUUCCUCCCAGAGUGGUAGUGAAGAUAAAAUGUUGAGCACAUAAUGAGCACUUAAUUGAUGCUUGUUCAUUUUAUUUAACCCUGGAUACUUCUUGUGACAUAUAAGCACAUCCACAAUCACUAGUAUAUAGUUACCUGAAUUUUUAAAUUUUCCUAUUUUCUAUUUUUAUUGAGGGGGAUGACCAUCUUUCCAAAUAUUUAGGUUUCACCUUCUCCAGUCUUCCCUUUCUCUCACCCUUCCAUAUAUUUUUCCUCCUGAAACAAUUGGGGUUAAGUGACUUGCCCAGGGUCACACACUUAGUAAGUGUUAGGUGUCUUGAGGUCUAUAUUUGAACUCAGAUCCUCCUGACUUCAAGGCUGGUGUUCUACCCACUGCCCCACUUAGCUUCUCUCCCUCCAUAUACAAUUAAUCAACUAGGGGUCAAGUCUUGUCGAUUCUUUCAUGGUGACUCUAGCAAAUAUGUGGCUUCUCUCUACUCUUAGUUGUCCAAGUGCUCAUUAUUAACUCUUUAUUGAACAACUGCAAUAGUCUUGUGGUAAGGGGUCUACCCAAUUAAGCCAAUCUCUACCCUCUGGGGUUCAUGUUCCCAUAGUCCUGCUGGCAAAUGUGCCUUCACAAGAUCCCCAUUAUCUCUAUAGUAAAAUAGAAAACUGCAGGCCUUUCAUAGUCUCUCCCUGGAGAGUUAGAUAGUUCUUUAUCUAUCUUAUUUAUCUUUUCCCCUCCCCACAUUUUUUUCUUUAAAUUCUACCUUUUCCCCUCCC